GGGGUGUGAUGAUGCAUAAGAAAGGUUUCGCAUGCUGGACUGAAGUCCUGUGAUGUCACUUCCUCUUGGCUGUCUGACCCU
This 81-nucleotide small nucleolar RNA is filed under the name Betta splendens (Siamese fighting fish). RNAcentral's name for it is "Small nucleolar RNA SNORD53/SNORD92 (ENSBSLG00000009340.1)". It matches the Rfam family "Small nucleolar RNA SNORD53/SNORD92". Rfam says of the family: U53 is a member of the C/D class of snoRNA which contain the C (UGAUGA) and D (CUGA) box motifs. Most of the members of the box C/D family function in directing site-specific 2'-O-methylation of substrate RNAs. Lineage: Eukaryota; Metazoa; Chordata; Actinopteri; Anabantiformes; Osphronemidae. The record is from Rfam by way of RNAcentral.